RNAcentral lists this ribosomal RNA (1258 nucleotides) under Salmonella enterica subsp. enterica serovar Typhimurium. Its description in RNAcentral is "partial 23S ribosomal RNA". It matches the Rfam family "Bacterial large subunit ribosomal RNA", at positions 1 to 1190 of the family's 2925-position model. The record is from RNAcentral. Lineage: Bacteria; Pseudomonadati; Pseudomonadota; Gammaproteobacteria; Enterobacterales; Enterobacteriaceae.
GGGUUGUGAGGUUAAGCGACUAAGCGUACACGGUGGAUGCCCUGGCAGUCAGAGGCGAUGAAGGACGUGCUAAUCUGCGAUAAGCGCCGGUAAGGUGAUAUGAACCGUUAUAACCGGCGAUUUCCGAAUGGGGAAACCCAGUGUGAUUCGUCACACUAUCAUUAACUGAAUCCAUAGGUUAAUGAGGCGAACCGGGGGAACUGAAACAUCUAAGUACCCCGAGGAAAAGAAAUCAACCGAGAUUCCCCCAGUAGCGGCGAGCGAACGGGGAGGAGCCCAGAGCCUGAAUCAGCAUGUGUGUUAGUGGAAGCGUCUGGAAAGGCGCGCGAUACAGGGUGACAGCCCCGUACACAAAAGCGCAUGUGCUGUGAGCUCGAUGAGUAGGGCGGGACACGUGGUAUCCUGUCUGAAUAUGGGGGGACCAUCCUCCAAGGCUAAAUACUCCUGACUGACCGAUAGUGAACCAGUACCGUGAGGGAAAGGCGAAAAGAACCCCGGCGAGGGGAGUGAAAAAGAACCUGAAACCGUGUACGUACAAGCAGUGGGAGCCCCACCACUAAGCCAGUGGUGAACUCCACAUCCGCAUCCUUUGCUGAGGAUACGGUUAACGGAGCGAAAGCGACGUUCAACCGCAAAACAAGCAGAGGGGGCUUAGUGGUGGGGUGACUGCGUACCUUUUGUAUAAUGGGUCAGCGACUUAUAUUCUGUAGCAAGGUUAACCGAAUAGGGGAGCCGGAGGGAAACCGAGUCUUAAUUGGGCGUUAAGUUGCAGGGUAUAGACCCGAAACCCGGUGAUCUAGCCAUGGGCAGGUUGAAGGUUGGGUAACACUAACUGGAGGACCGAACCGACUAAUGUUGAAAAAUUAGCGGAUGACCUGUAGCUGGGGGUGAAAGGCCAAUCAAACCGGGAGAUAGCUGGUUCUCCCCGAAAGCUAUUUAGGUAGCGCCUCGUGAAUUCAUCUCCGGGGGUAGAGCACUGUUUCGGCUAGGGGGCCAUCCCGGCUUACCAACCCGAUGCAAACUGCGAAUACCGGAGAAUGUUAUCACGGGAGACACACGGCGGGUGCUAACGUCCGUCGUGAAGAGGGAAACAACCCAGACCGCCAGCUAAGGUCCCAAAGUCAUGGUUAAGUGGGAAACGAUGUGGGAAGGCCCAGACAGCCAGGAUGUUGGCUUAGAAGCAGCCAUCAUUUAAAGAAAGCGUAAUAGCUCACUGGUCGAGUCGGCCUGCGCGGAAGAUGUAACGGGGCUAAACCAU